UAAUACGUGAUCCCCAAGCGUUAUCCGGAUUUAUUGGGCGUAAAGCGUCCGUAGGCGCCCCGCCAAGUUUUCUGUUAAAUACUAGGGCUUAACCUUAGAGAUGCAGAAAAAACUGGUGGGGUAGAGGGUGUUAGGGGCUGGUGGAACGGUCGGUGUAGGGGUGAAAUCCGUUGAUAUCGACCGGAAUACCAAAAGCGAAGGCAUCCAGCUAGGGCAACCCUGACGCUGAGGGACGAAAGCGUGGGGAGCAAAAAGGAUUAGAUACCCUUGUAGUCCACGCUGUAAACGAUGGACACUGGCUAUUUGAAGUGUCGACCCUCCAAGUGGCGAAGCUAACGCGUUAAGUGUCCCGCCUGGGAAGUACGACGGCAACGUUA
This 377-nucleotide ribosomal RNA is filed under the name uncultured bacterium. RNAcentral's name for it is "bacterial SSU rRNA". It matches the Rfam family "Bacterial small subunit ribosomal RNA", at positions 521 to 896 of the family's 1533-position model. The record is from RNAcentral.